AGAGUUUGAUCAUGGCUCAGAAUGAACGCUGGCGGCGUGCUCAACACAUGCAAGUCGAACGAGAACGGGACUGCUUGCAAUCCUUAGUAGAGUGGCGCACGGGUGAGUAACACGUAGAUAAUCUACCUUCAAGCCUGGGAUAACUAUUCGAAAGGAUAGCUAAUACCGGAUGAAGUGUUUUGACAUAAGUUGAAACAUGAAAGGUUGCCUCUUCUUGAAAGCAAUUGUUUGGAGAUGAGUCUGCGGACCAUUAGUUUGUUGGUGGGGUAAAGGCCUACCAAGACUACGAUGGUUAGCUGGUCUGAGAGGAUGAUCAGCCACACUGGAACUGACACACGGUCCAGACUCCUACGGGAGGCAGCAGUGAGGAAUUUUGCGCAAUGGGGGAAACCCUGACGCAGCAACGCCGCGUGAGUGAAGAAGGCCCUUGGGUCGUAAAGCUCUGUCGACAGGGAAGAAAUUACUUCAUAUUAAUAGUAUGUUGUAUUGACGGUACCUGUAGAGGAAGCACCGGCUAACUCCGUGCCAGCAGCCGCGGUAAUACGGGGGGUGCAAGCGUUAUUCGGAAUUAUUGGGCGUAAAGGGCGCGUAAGCGGUCUUGUCGGUCACAUGUGAAAGCCCGGGGCUCAA
RNAcentral lists this ribosomal RNA (630 nucleotides) under uncultured bacterium. RNAcentral describes it as "bacterial SSU rRNA". It matches the Rfam family "Bacterial small subunit ribosomal RNA", at positions 8 to 612 of the family's 1533-position model. The record is from RNAcentral.